AUGUUCGUCUACGUCAUCUACGGCCAUCCGUUCAAGCUGGGCGCCUCUACAUCACCGGGAUCGACUGCUUCGUCCCCUCGGCCGUCGGCGCCUCUCCGGCGAAUUUCGGCGCUCUCUGCUGCUCCCGGCAACCAACGAGCCUCCACUACGAGACCGUCGUCGGCACCCCCGAGAUCGACUACAUCAACGACGACCCCUCCUUCUUGCCAGAGCAACCAGACGUUGGAGCCCAGGAGCCAGACGCCACCGUCGACGAUGACUCCUACUACACUGGAGGUGCCUACUACUACGUGUAGGCCGCUGACGACGACCAGGAGUAGUUUAGGAGGAUCCCAGGCAAGAGGCCUGCGCCUCCUUCGAUUUGUAUCCCAGUUUGUGCUAGCCAUCUUAUGGCAAUUUGUUUAA
RNAcentral lists this ribosomal RNA (405 nucleotides) under Triticum aestivum (bread wheat). RNAcentral describes it as "partial small subunit ribosomal RNA". The record is from RNAcentral. Lineage: Eukaryota; Viridiplantae; Streptophyta; Magnoliopsida; Poales; Poaceae.